UUUUAAACUAUUUUUCAAUAUUUCUCUCCUAAAAUAUAUUAUUACUUUUCCUCUCUCACUUCUCACGAGACAUACUAACACAAGCAAACUCAACUCCCAACGUAUUCCCUUCUUGCAGACAUCAUUCAAAGCAACGAUCCCCACCACCACCGGUGUUUCUUCUUCCUUUCCAUCCUUUUAGUUGCAAGUGAUAUGGAUAAUAAAGAAUGGAAGGAGACGUCAAGCUUGAAGGAUCGAAGCCGAAUCUUGAAAUGUUGCGUUCCAUAUUUCAACAAUGAAACAAAUUUAGAAGCGCCGAGAUCGAAACGGGAUUCAACAAGUAGUGCUGGAUUUACAAGCACUUUCCUAGGAUCUAUAAGUGGUGCGAUAGUGGAACGGUUCCUACACAUCUUCCAAGAGCAUGUAGGUGGACUGCAAAACACGUCGUUGAAGAUGGACCGAUGACAUAUUAGCGAAGACUUGAUGCUUUGUUGCUCGAGGAUGUAGUGUUUACACCAUAUGAUAAUGAUCGAGCUAAUCAUCCCUUUGUAGCGACUUCAAUGUUCUUCGGAUACCUUUGUUGCGCUAGAAUUUCAUUCCCAUAUCUGCUGGAGCCAUAUCUUCGACAGUUUGGUCAUAUUCAGUGCAUUCCGCGUGACGUUCCUCGGGUGUCAAACAAUAUAGAUUGGGAGUGGCAGAGUAAUAUCAGAGCAUCUAUAUCGGCCUUUCAGAGGCUAUAUCCGUUAGCGACGUUUCCUAGAGAGGUCACUACAGACUACUAUGCAUGGUACAUAAAUGUUUCACAUCUUCUGAUCCUCUCUCCACCUAUUGCUGCUCCACCUUCAGUUCACUUACUAUUGCACAUGAUCCACAUGGUCCAUCAUCUUCUGUACAUAUUGGUCCAUCAUCGACACAAGAUCGUAGAGCAGUUGAGCUUUUACGUAGGGCUAUACAGUUGGUAUCUCCAUAUGGUGAAAUUCAUGACAUAUUAAGUGAGUUAGUUCGCAUGUUCCCGGGCGAUGAUUAGUGAUUUUGUUAUGUAUGAUUGUGUAAUGUAUGAUAAAUAUUGUAUAGUAAAUUUCCAUUUUAAUAUUUUGUGUUA
Molecule: long non-coding RNA, 1081 nt
Organism: Cicer arietinum (chickpea)
Lineage: Eukaryota; Viridiplantae; Streptophyta; Magnoliopsida; Fabales; Fabaceae
Source: RefSeq, a predicted model, not a curated record